This 711-nucleotide ribosomal RNA is filed under the name uncultured Ascomycota. RNAcentral describes it as "SSU rRNA". It matches the Rfam family "Eukaryotic small subunit ribosomal RNA", at positions 49 to 768 of the family's 1831-position model. Lineage: Eukaryota; Fungi; Ascomycota. The record is from RNAcentral.
CCAUGCAUGUCUAAGCAUAAGCAACUAUACGGUGAAACUGCGAAUGGCUCAUUAAAUCAGUUAUCGUUUAUUUGAUAGUACCUUACUACUUGGAUAACCGUGGUAAUUCUAGAGCUAAUACAUGCUAAAAACCCCAACUUCGGAAGGGGUGCAUUUAUUAGAUAAAAAACCAACGCCCUUCGGGGCUCCUUGGUGAUUCAUAAUAACUAAACGAAUCGCAUGGCCUUGCGCCGGCGAUGGUUCAUUCAAAUUUCUGCCCUAUCAACUUUCGAUGGUAGGAUAGUGGCCUACCAUGGUAUCAACGGGUAACGGGGAAUUAGGGUUCUAUUCCGGAGAGGGAGCCUGAGAAACGGCUACCACAUCCAAGGAAGGCAGCAGGCGCGCAAAUUACCCAAUCCCGACACGGGGAGGUAGUGACAAUAAAUACUGAUACAGGGCUCUUUUGGGUCUUGUAAUUGGAAUGAGUACAAUUUAAAUCCCUUAACGAGGAACAAUUGGAGGGCAAGUCUGGUGCCAGCAGCCGCGGUAAUUCCAGCUCCAAUAGCGUAUAUUAAAGUUGUUGCAGUUAAAAAGCUCGUAGUUGAACCUUGGGCCUGGCUGGCCGGUCCGCCUCACCGCGUGUACUGGUCCGGCCGGGCCUUUCCUUCUGGGGAGCCGCAUGCCCUUCACUGGGCGUGUCGGGGAACCAGGACUUUUACUUUGAAAAAAUUA